Long non-coding RNA from Mauremys reevesii (Reeves's turtle), 668 nucleotides. RefSeq lists it as uncharacterized. The transcript is spliced from 3 exons. The record is from RefSeq and is a predicted model, not a curated record. NCBI's taxonomy places the organism in Eukaryota, Metazoa, Chordata, Testudines, Geoemydidae.
CGAUUUAUUGUGGUAUACACCCCACGCUGGGUCAACAGGAGAAACUCUCCUGUUGACUUACCUUAUGCUUCUCGUUGCGGUGGAGUAUCAGAGUCAUGGGAGAGUGAUCGGCAGUCAAUUUAGUGGGUCUUCACUAAAUCAACCCCCAGUGGACUGAUCACUGCAGUGUCGAUCCCCCGCCCUGUUUCUCCCUUCAGAAAAGAGUUACAAGAAUGAUUCCAGGUCUGGGAAAUCUGCCUUAUGGGGAGAGAGUAGAGAAGCUCAAUCUAUUCAGUUUAUCCAGAGUCAACGCUUCUGAUGGGAGAGUCAAAGCUUUAUUUGGCUUGGGCCUUUGAAAGCCGAUGCAGCUUUCUCUUACUCAAUGAUUUAGCAUGAAAGAAAUGGGAGCUAUUAUCUGACAAGCCUCCAAAAGAUUAUAAUUAAGGUGACAGGCCUGCAAGAGUAUUUCACAUCUCUUUCUAUAGCUAGCACUAUAAAUUGAGGAUGCUACAUCACUUUCCUAUACAACUGAAGCUGCACAGAAACACUAACCCUCGAUACUCAGUGACUUGAAAGCCCACCCUGCCACCCUCCCUUCCUUCAUCAUAAAUGGAUGGAUGAUGACAAGGGAAGAAGUUUAGCACCUCUUGGGGACAACCUUCAUCUUAAAUAAAAGGUUAAACUGUUUA